UUGAGCGUGUGUAUUCUCUGCAUAUUACCUACAUAAAAAUUAUUAUAAAAUAUAUUCAUUUGUGCUUGAAUUGUCUGUAUAAGACAAGUGUGAUGUGCGCACACGCUGACAAGAUACCGAAGCUGAAAUACAACUUCUGGAGCUGCGACGAUGACGUGAAGCAAAAUUCAGCCAGUUGUUCACAAGCGUAUUCAACGUGAUACGCAUCGUACUACCAGAACAGCGUAUAAAGCUCACCAAGAGACGAAUUAUAAUUGGAACUCUGGUAUUUUGUUUCAUUUCUUUUUCUGUUUAUAAGCACGUCCAGAAACGAAAUGCAGCAAAAGAGGCGCAAAGCCAAAGUAAUAAACAAAGUGACGGAAAACUUCAUGAUUGGCACGACUACGCCGCUAUGUCUCGCGAUGCUGUGCGCAUUGGAGCAGGUGAGCAGGGCCAGCCAGGUACCUUAGCGAAUGUGGAAUAUAAAGACGCAGCAGCUGCAAGCUUGCGCCAAUACGGCUUUAAUGCUUUACUCUCAGAGCAAAUUUCAUUGCCGCUGUUGCAACCAAUCUUUGAUGAUCCACACACCAGCACGACGCCACUAAUAGAUACUAUUAAUUAUGCCACUUUCGAAUACAUAAGGUCGUCACCUUCGCGUGGUGGAUUUGAUUGGAACUUCAAUUACGUACAGCUGCCGUUACUGGACGAAGAACGAAGAGCGCUGCCGGCACCACACAGCAAUCCUGUGAUGAACGGAGGCCUUUUUGCAAUCGAAGCGAAGUUCUUUUGGCAUUUGGGAGCAUACGACGAAGGCUUGGAUGUGUGGGGCGCCGAGCAAUUUGAGCUCAGCUUCAAAAUAUGGAUGUGCGGUGGCCGAAUAUUAGAAGUGCCGUGCUCACGCAUGGGACAUCUUUACCGGGAUGGAGCAUUUCACGUCAAAUACACCAAUCGCUCCGAUGAUUUUAUUUCGAGGAAUUACAAACGCGUCGCAUCAGUAUGGUUGGAUGAAUACCAAGCAGCUUUAUAUGAGCACAUUCGCACGCUUGUCCUACUCGAUGCAGGUGAUGUAAGCGCGCGGCGUACUCUACGACAGCGGCUGAAGUGCAAAACGUUCAAAUGGUACCUCGAAACUAUUGCACCAGACUUAGCGCAGACAUAUCCACCAAUUGAGCCACCAGAUUAUGCGUUUGGUGCACUCCAAAGUUUUGCUGCGCCGCAGUUUGUUUGGAUUCAAUGCAUCUGCCAUCUCGGCAACCAAUUGGCGCCCUGCGACCUUGUUCGCCUGACCUGAAGUACCCAUACACAUCGCAACAUUGGCAGCUUACCUUUCGUCGUGAUCUUCGCCAGCCAGAUGGAAAUUGUCUGGAGGUGCAGUCAUGGACACUCGAUGCACCAGUUUGGCUAUGGCCGUGCCACCAUCAGGGUGGCAAUCAAUUUUGGUAUUACGACCAGCAAACACAGUUGCUAGUGCAAAGUGAAACGGAAACAGAGCGGAGAUGUCUGGUGGCGAAUGUGACGGCUAGGCGGGCGUGCAUGAAUUUCUGUGAUUUUUCCGAUAUGAACAUGAAGUGGAAUUUCAGAUUUGUCAACAAAACAAUAAUGGGAACAUUUUUCAAGGGAUUAAGAACGAAUGAAUAUGAAAGUUGAGAAAUUGGUUGCAUUUCGCAUGUUCUCAAUGUGUAUUAUAUAGUUAUUACAUACGGAGUAAAAAAAUCUAUUUUAUUUUAUUACUUAUAACUUACCACGUUUAUAUCAACUCGCUUUCUUGUUUUCAAAGAUUUCAGUACAAACUUUGCGCUGCGUUCAAUACCGCUUGAGCUUUGCCUUGGUAUGGAAAUAGGGUGCACAGUGUGAAACUUCCAAAAAUACAUACACUACACUAUUGUACACUAUAUGUACAAUAGGACAAAAAAAUGCCAAAAAUCCACGAAAUUCAUAUACCUGAUCCAAGGCUUCUUCUAUGGUAAUUAAAUAACAAAUGACAAAAACCAAGAAAACCAAGAACCACAAGUUUAAAUAGCACUGGAAUAGCUGCGAUUGAUUGUAGUUGGCUUCACAAAUGAAAAAGUGGAAAAAACAAUAAGGGUUUAUAAGGCGAAACUUCCCAGCAAAAAACACGAUUACGACAGAAACGAAAGUCGAAACGAGCUAGGCGAUGGGAAUCGCUUACCUUUUCGCUUCAAGAAGGAAUUAUUUUAACAUGGGCGUAUCGUUGGCCGUAAGCUCUUACCCCCAGCAUUACAUUCGAACGAAGGGAGAAAGCAUGGAAAAACAGAAUCCAGAGAAGCUAACAAAGAAUGCCUUACAGAGAA
Molecule: RNA transcript, 2291 nt
Organism: Rhagoletis zephyria (snowberry fruit fly)
Lineage: Eukaryota; Metazoa; Arthropoda; Insecta; Diptera; Tephritidae
Gene name: Polypeptide N-Acetylgalactosaminyltransferase 8
Source: RefSeq, a predicted model, not a curated record